AAACUAACAAGGAUUCCCCUAGUAGCGGCGAGCGAAGCGGGAAGAGCUCAAAUUUAUAAUCUGGCACCUUCGGUGUCCGAGUUGUAAUCUCUAGAAGUGUUUUCCGCGUUGGACCGCACACAAGUCUGUUGGAAUACAGCGGCAUAGUGGUGAGACCCCCGUAUAUGGUGCGGACGCCCAACGCUUUGUGAUACACUUUCGAAGAGUCGAGUUGUUUGGGAAUGCAGCUCAAAUUGGGUGGUAAAUUCCAUCUAAAGCUAAAUAUUGGCGAGAGACCGAUAGCGAACAAGUACCGUGAGGGAAAGAUGAAAAGCACUUUGGAAAGAGAGUUAACAGUACGUGAAAUUGUUGGAAGGGAAACGCUUGAAGUCAGACUUGCUUGCCGAGCAAUCGGUUUGCAGGCCAGCAUCAGUUUUCCGGGGUGGAUAAUGGUAGAGAGAAGGUAGCAGUUUCGGCUGUGUUAUAGCUCUCUGCUGGAUACACCUUGGGGGACUGAGGAACGCAGUGUGCCUUACGGCGGAUUUCUCGAGAUCUUCACACUUAGGAUGCUGGUGGAAUGGCUUUAAACGACCCGUCU
Molecule: ribosomal RNA, 577 nt
Filed under: Rhodotorula taiwanensis
Lineage: Eukaryota; Fungi; Basidiomycota; Microbotryomycetes; Sporidiobolales; Sporidiobolaceae
Description: partial large subunit ribosomal RNA
Rfam family: Eukaryotic large subunit ribosomal RNA
Source: RNAcentral